This 835-nucleotide ribosomal RNA is filed under the name uncultured bacterium. Its description in RNAcentral is "bacterial SSU rRNA". It matches the Rfam family "Bacterial small subunit ribosomal RNA", at positions 116 to 944 of the family's 1533-position model. The record is from RNAcentral.
CUUAGGAAUCUGGCUAUUAGUGGGGGACAACAUUUCGAAAGGGAUGCUAAUACCGCAUACGUCCUACGGGAGAAAGCAGGGGAUCAGUAAUGACCUUGCGCUAAUAGAUGAGCCUAAGUCGGAUUAGCUAGUUGGUGGGGUAAAGGCCUACCAAGGCGACGAUCUGUAGCGGGUCUGAGAGGAUGAUCCGCCACACUGGGACUGAGACACGGCCCAGACUCCUACGGGAGGCAGCAGUGGGGAAUAUUGGACAAUGGGGGGAACCCUGAUCCAGCCAUGCCGCGUGUGUGAAGAAGGCCUUAUGGUUGUAAAGCACUUUAAGCGAGGAGGAGGGUACUGGUAUUAAUACUACCAGCUACUGGACGUUACUCGCAGAAUAAGCACCGGCUAACUCUGUGCCAGCAGCCGCGGUAAUACAGAGGGUGCGAGCGUUAAUCGGAUUUACUGGGCGUAAAGCGUGCGUAGGCGGCUAAUUGAGUCGGAUGUGAAAUCCCCGAGCUUAACUUGGGAAUUGCAUUCGAUACUGGUUAGCUAGAGUGUGGGAGAGGAUGGUAGAAUUCCAGGUGUAGCGGUGAAAUGCGUAGAGAUCUGGAGGAAUACCGAUGGCGAAGGCAGCCAUCUGGCCUAACACUGACGCUGAGGUACGAAAGCAUGAGGAGCAAACAGGAUUAGAUACCCUGGUAGUCCAUGCCGUAAACGAUGUCUACUAGCCGUUGGUCUCUUUGAGGGAUUAGUGGCGCAGCUAACGCGAUAAGUAGACCGCCUGGGGAGUACGGUCGCAAGACUAAAACUCAAAUGAAUUGACGGGGGCCCGCACAAGCGGUGGAGCAUGUGG